GGAGGAGUGGCUGAGUGGACGAAAGCGGCUGCCUGCUAAGCAGUUGUACCUAAUUAUCUGGUACCUCGGGUUCGAAUCCCGACUCCUCCACCA
Molecule: transfer RNA, 93 nt
Filed under: Candidatus Hippobium faecium
Lineage: Bacteria; Bacillati; Armatimonadota
Description: tRNA-Ser
Rfam family: tRNA
About the family: Transfer RNA (tRNA) molecules are approximately 80 nucleotides in length. Their secondary structure includes four short double-helical elements and three loops (D, anti-codon, and T loops).
Source: RNAcentral